GAAAUGCGAUAAGUAAUGUGAAUUGCAGAAUUCAGUGAAUCAUCGAAUCUUUGAACGCACAUUGCGCCCGCCAGUAUUCUGGCGGGCAUGCCUGUCCGAGCGUCAUUUCAACCAUCAAGCCCCCGGGCUUGUGUUGGGGACCUGCGGCUGCCCGCAGGCCCUGAAAACCAGUGGCGGGCUCGCUGUCACACCGAGCGUAGUAGCAAUCACCUCGCUCAGGGCGUGCUGCGGGUUCCGGCCGUUAACAGCCUUACAAAACCCAAGGUUGACCUCGGAUCAGGUAGGAAGACCCGCUGAACUUAAGC
This 305-nucleotide unclassified non-coding RNA is filed under the name plant metagenome. RNAcentral describes it as "partial contains 5.8S ribosomal RNA, internal transcribed spacer 2, and large subunit ribosomal RNA". The stretch from base 1 to 105 matches the Rfam family "5.8S ribosomal RNA", at positions 50 to 154 of the family's 154-position model. The record is from RNAcentral.